RNAcentral lists this ribosomal RNA (497 nucleotides) under uncultured bacterium. RNAcentral describes it as "bacterial SSU rRNA". It matches the Rfam family "Bacterial small subunit ribosomal RNA", at positions 26 to 518 of the family's 1533-position model. The record is from RNAcentral.
AGGACGAACGCUGGCGGCGUGCCUAACACAUGCAAGUCGAACGAAGCAUUUGGAGUUGAUCUCUUCGGAGUGACGCACCUUAUGACUUAGUGGCGGACGGGUGAGUAACACGUGAGCAACCUGCCUCUCAGAGUGGAAUAACAGUUGGAAACGGCUGCUAAUACCACAUAACGUUUUUGUGCCGCAUGACACUUCAACCAAAGAUUUAUCGCUGAGAGAUGGGCUCGCGUCCGAUUAGGUAGAUGGUGGGGUAACGGCCUACCAUGCCGACGAUCGGUAGCCGGACUGAGAGGUUGAUCGGCCACAUUGGGACUGAGACACGGCCCAGACUCCUACGGGAGGCAGCAGUGGGGGAUAUUGCACAAUGGGCGCAAGCCUGAUGCAGCAACGCCGCGUGCGGGAAGACGGCCUUCGGGUUGUAAACCGCUGUCCUUGGGGAAGAAACAAAUGACGGUACCCAAGAAGGAAGCCACGGCUAACUACGUGCCAGCAGCCGC